Molecule: ribosomal RNA, 519 nt
Filed under: uncultured bacterium
Lineage: Bacteria
Description: partial 16S ribosomal RNA
Source: RNAcentral
GUAGUUAGCCGGGGCUUCUUAGUCAGGUACCGUCAUUAUCUUCCCUGCUGAUAGAGCUUUACGUACCGAAAUACUUCUUCCCUCACGCGGCGUUGCUGGGUCAGGCUUGCGCCCAUUGCCCAAUAUUCCCCACUGCUGCCUCCCGUAGGAGUCUGGACCGUGUCUCAGUUCCAGUGUGGCCGAUCAGCCUCUCAGCUCGGCUACCCAUCGUCGACUUGGUGGGCCGUUACCCCGCCAACUAUCUAAUGGGACGCGAACCCCUCCUAAAGCGGAUUGCUCCUUUGACCUCAUCCCGAUGUCGGGUCGUGGUCUUAUGCGGUAUUAGCACUUGUUUCCAGGUGUUAUCCCCCUCUUUAGGGCAGGUUGUUCACGCGUUACUCACCCGUUCGCCACUCAGAUAAAACCGAAAUCUUAUCUCCGUUCGACUUGCAUGUGUUAGGCACGCCGCCAGCGUNUCUCUAGCNCGACGACAACAACUACUACUACGUAGACGGCGGUCGGCGACGGACGGCGACGACG